Molecule: long non-coding RNA, 638 nt
Filed under: Carica papaya (papaya)
Lineage: Eukaryota; Viridiplantae; Streptophyta; Magnoliopsida; Brassicales; Caricaceae
Description: long non-coding RNA (CPAP_LNC010836)
Source: RNAcentral
GAAACGCGCUUACGAUACUUACAAGUGUCCCAAAAAAACCCAAAAAUCAGACCCAGGGCCUACUCGGCCAAUUUUGAAAUUCCGACACGACAGCUUCGCCGUGCUCCGGCGACGAUGAUUUGCCUCGAAUUGGUUAUUUUGGGCCGUUUUCAGCUGAAUUCAGCCGAACUUGCACCGGUUCAUGCGAGAAAACAUACUUAGGACCCUCGGUGGGCUGAAAAAAUACAGAAAAUCAAAACUCACCGACAAUGGGGUUCUCCAGUGCGAUGGCUCCUCCGGCUCACGUUACGGUUGGGUGUUUUACUUCUGUAAACCUGUAGAUAAGGAAACGGUGGUCAAAACGGUGAAAAAAUCUCAUCGAAUGAGAAUCGAAAAGGGCCUCAUCGGAGCCAUUUUCUGAAACACCUUACGGCGGUGCUGCGAGCUUCGGUGGCAUUUUUCCACUAAUCAGCCGGUUCUUUCACUCCGAUUUGGCCAUGGGUGGGUUUAAAAUUGAAUCUUGUGUAAUAGGAGAAAUUUUUACCUCGUUUGCUAGUCGAAAAUUGCUAUAGUACGGCGGCGGAUGGCAGCGGUCGGCUCCCUAGUAGCUGGACUGUCUUCUCCGGUGAGGGACUCUGGCAGCUAGGGUUAAGGUUUGG